Molecule: long non-coding RNA, 581 nt
Organism: Meriones unguiculatus (Mongolian gerbil)
Lineage: Eukaryota; Metazoa; Chordata; Mammalia; Rodentia; Muridae
Exons: 3
Source: RefSeq, a predicted model, not a curated record
GACACCCUAGUUACCCACAGCAGGUCAGUGGCAAGGACGACCCGACAGCCAGGGAUGAGGAACCAGGGGCCCAGAGCAGAGAUGGGACUUUCCUAGGACCAUGGAGACGGCAGAGAGGCCGGAGAGCUGCCUCUUGGGUGGCUAGCUUCCAGCAGCGUCUUCUCGCGAGAAAGGGACAGGUGGAACAGUGUGAUUAAAGGCCCAAAGCUAGGCUGAAUGUGAAGGGAGCUGCAUUCUACGAACUCAAGCAAGGACAGGACAGCCAUCCCCAGAUGCACGCCUCCCUCUUCCACGUAGUGGAGCGGAAGAGGACAUUUCAGCAAGCAUUCCACUUACCUGGAAUUGGCCAAUCUUCUGGCCAAAGGCUUCCCUCACAUGCAAAUAGGGAAUGGUGUGGUCCAGGACAGCUUGCAUGAUCCUGCCAAAAAGGAGAAAGACAACAUGGAGCUCCCUAGGACAAGCAGUUCUCCACAGGCCCUUCUUCCCUCAUGCUCUGCCUCGCUCCAGGUGCACAAGCAAUGGAGCCAAAGGACCACAGACUCGAUCCCUGAGACCCUGAGUAAAAACAAGUUCUUCCUUCC